GAUGCAGGAUCAAUAUUUACAGUCGGAUUAAAGGGUGUGCUAUUGUUAAGUGAACUCGACUCUCUGGAUUUUCCGUCAGACACAUCAGGAUCCACUAAACCAAAAGCUUCAUUGAUUAUAUCCGAAUUUUCCUGCAUACUUUCUGCUACAGGAUCCACUGCCAGCAGUUCGUUAGGGAUCUGAAAUUCUUCUUCCAAUGGUACAUC
Schizosaccharomyces pombe (fission yeast) is the source of this 206-nucleotide non-coding RNA. The record is from the annotation of a GenBank genome assembly. NCBI's taxonomy places the organism in Eukaryota, Fungi, Ascomycota, Schizosaccharomycetes, Schizosaccharomycetales, Schizosaccharomycetaceae.